GGCCAGUGAGUGGGAUGGAGCGCGGUCCGCGACCGCCCCCGGCUCGUUUCGGCCCCGCCGCCCGCCCGCCUGUGUCUCCGCCGGCCGGGCCGGGGCGGCGGCCGGAGCCCCGAGUGCCGGCUCCCCUCCCCCGUGGCCCCAGACUGACCUCUGACCCCAGCACCGGACUUGACUGCUACCAAAGCCCCCAGCCGUACACUGACUGUCCUAUGCAACCCAGCCAGGCCCAGACCCAGUGAGUGGCCUCUUGAAUGCCUUGGAGGUGCAGUUGGCUCCCUGUCACCUGUCCCCUCUGCCCCAGCCCCAACCAGCUGCCUGUCAAUGGCUGGUGGUAUAUGAGGGUGAGGCUGGGAUGUGUGGGACCCUUGGCAUGAGGGGUGUCCUCUGGCAGCCCUGCCCAUGCCAGCCCGAGCUGGAGGGCAGUACCCAACAGGUGCCCGGGCUUAGAGGCGAGGUGAUGUAGGACACACCCUGUCCGCUCGCCCACGCACCCUGCCCGGGCCAGCCGGUGCGCAUGUGUUCACAUGCCACCGUCCUGGGAAGGCAUGGGCCCUAGGGCCUGGUGCCAGCUCUGUCCUAGCGCCCAGGGGGCACCCAUUGCCCUCUGUCCUUGCAGGAUGUCCUCUGGGAGCUCCCUCAAGACCCCAACGGGCAAGUCUUGUCUGUGGGCCUGGAGGGGGCCCUAAAAUAGCUGCUAGCCUGGCUCGGGGCUGGCACGCGGAGCACAUGCGUGACAGGGCGUGUCCGGGGGGUCGGGCCUGUCUGUGCUGGCCAAGCCUCUGAGUCUCGCAGACCCUUGCUCACUGGAAAGAAACAGCAGAGGCGGAUGCUCCAGGGGUCCUCCCCGGGACCCCCCUACCAAGCCCUGCCUGUUGUAAGUGGAGGCCAGAUGUUCUGUGCAGGCCGCAGCUGUGGGGCAAACCCCUGACCCAUUUGCAGUCACAGGGUCACUGCCCCAUGGGUGCAGUGGGAUGACCUGUUCUCUGGGGGCCCAGGUGAUGCUUUGAUACACCGUAAGGCAUUUUUCACAGUUUGCCCUUCACUUUGGGAGGCUGGGUGGGGGAGUCUGUUCGAAGUGAAGGACACCGCAAGGAACCUUGGGCGGUCUGAAGAAAACUCCUUCCGGCCCCUCUCUGGGCUGGCUGGCUGGCCCUUUCCCACUUUGGAUACACUUUAUGCCAGGAUCAGGCCUGGCUUUUCCUUAGACUUCCCGCAUGACCUUGGGCCUGGUUCUGAAUCCUCUGGGCCUCAGUUUCUCCAUCUGUAUAUGGGAAGCAUUGGGAAAAACGAGCGGAGGGAAGUGUGUGCUUCCCUUCCCUGUCCUGGGCCCUCACUUUCAGAUCACUUGGAGGGCACUCUGGCCACCUUCCCUCCUGCCAUUGGGUGUCCUGUGUGAACACGGAGGUGUGCCUGGGGAAAGGCCGGUCCCCCGGGAAGGACGUACUGGGAAGCCAGUGGGUGUGGGUGUGUGAGAAUCCUUGGGCAGAGAAGGACACCGCCAUGCUGGGCACAGCUGAGUCAUGCUGCAGCGGCGCCUUGCCCCAGGGUGCUGGAGCUGGCGCCACCCUGGGUGUGGUCACUGAGCUGUGGCCCUGGGCAGAGCAGGCCUGGGUGGUCUGGGAUGGGGUCCUGGAUGGUGAGGGGCCAGGGAACUGACUUCUGAGAUGCUAAAGCCCCUUGGCCUCCCUCUGGCCUUGGUCAGGCGUCAUCGUCCAGGACCAUGGUCACCCACACCCUGAGAAUACCUUGGGGAGCCAAGGAAUCCUGACCUUUGGGCCUGGGAAUUGUCGGGGUGCUAUAGGAGGGGGACAGGGCCUGGAAGCCAGCAACUGCCUUCGAGGCCAUUGGCCCCCAAAAGGCAGGCCAGGAGGCCAGGACAAGGAUAAGGCAGAGAUGGACAUGGCAGUAGGGUGUACCCCUCAGUAAAGGGCCCAAAGUGUGGAUAUUAGGGGUCCCCUGGGAAUUCUGUGACUGGUCUGAGGGGGAUUAACGUUGAAGGCAGGGGUUGGAGCGUGGCGUGGCUGGGCACCAUGGGGGCUGGGAUGUGACUUGCAUGGUUCCCCUAUUUAUAACAAGUGAUUCAGUCCUCACUUACUCACCCCUUCCUGAGCCUGCCCCCCUCCCCCGAGCCCUGGGUGGGCAGCGGGGCCCACCCACUUACCAGUGCCCUGCCUCCCUCCAGCCGGGCGCCAACCUCUGAGGGCUGCCCAUCGGGCCGGUUGUUAUGGUGGCCACGUUGGGCUGGGGGUGAGGGGUGGGGGGCGGGUGGUCAGGCGGCACUUGGCUGGGCAGCCCAGGUUAGCGGCUGGCUCGGCGCCUGGCCUAGGGAGCCUCUGCGGAGAGUCUGGGCCCAUUAGGCAAAGCGUUAGUGACAGGCUGGGAGGGCGGGCAGCAGCAGCGGGCAGGGCGGGGCCUGCAGCCCUUGGUAUUUUCCGAUCCCAGCUGCUCUGAGAGGGUGGAAAGUAUUUGGGGACCAGGCUUGGGGGCGGUGGUGGUGGCGCCCCCGGCGGAAGCUGCCCCUGAUUCAUUCUUGGAGCAUGGGGUUGGGGGGGGCAGGCAUUACAGAGUAUGUCUCACGAGUCCACGCCCUGUCUGCAGAGCGUACUCAGACAUACAUCCAUACAUCCAUCCAUCCAUCGGUGUGGCCUGGGGCCUGCUGUGCUCCCUGGGCCCAGGGCCCUUCCUCCCCACAAUGCCUCCAGCUGCCAGGAGCUUGGCCCUCCUUGGACACCAUCUCCCCAGAGCCUGAGAGACACGCCUAUGGUAACGGGGGCCCUGCUUCUGGGCACCUGCAUGACGGUGCCCCCUCCACUCGAGAACCAGGCCUUUUGCGCCUGCGGGGAUGGGGAGUGGCCUUGGCCCCGGCCCGGGGCUCUGUGCAGGGGAAACCCCACAGGAAACGGGCCUGGCCAAAUGGCCGCCCUUCCCGUUCUCGUCCCUGGGACACGAAUGUGCUGUCUCACUUCCGGAGGCGGCCCAGGGAGGCCGGCCGCCCUGCGGGGCCUUGUCUGCUCCUGGUUGGUGCCCCUAAACCUUGAGGGAACAGGGCUGGGCUAGGGCCCGACCGUAAAGCGGGUGGCCGGUGUGUAUGUAUGUGUGUAUGUAGGAGGCACAGAGCAGGACACCUCACUCCACCUGUCUCCCAGUGGUGGUCACCACCUACCAGAUCUGGACGCUGGGGUCCUACCCGUGUGCAGCGUCUUCUGUGCCAUCAUCCUUCCUGUUUAUGCCUGGUGAAUGGUGACAGAGUAGCCCCAUCCUAAUUAUACACAGCACUCGCGGGAUCCUUACCAUGACAUUAUCCCUGCUUUGCCGAUGGGGAGACGGAGGCCCAGAGAGACUGAGUGACUUGAGAGUCACCCAGCUGGGAAGCUGCAGAGCCAGGGUUCAUAUGCAGCUGGACUGGCUCCAGAGUUGGAUCUCCUAGCCGCAGGGCUCUCAUCACACGGGAGGUCUCUGUUUACUGAACACAGGGCGGGCUUCAUGGGCAUGUGACCUGUGCCGUUCACAGGGUCACCCGCUACUGAGAAGGACCUGGAGCUUGGGUUCAUGCUCUGCUGUCGUCUUGAAAUUCUUAAUUUGUGAACAAGGGGCCCCAAGUUUUCAUUUUGCACUGAGUCCCACAAAUUCUAUAGGUGGUCUUGGUGCCAGGUACUUGCUAGGCAGCACUCUUGGUGGAACCUCACCAUGCUAUGUGGUAGAGACUCUUGGCUCCAUUUUACAGAUGGGGAGACUGAGGCUUGGAGGGCAUUUGGGAAACUGCCGAGCUGGAAUUUGCACCUCGAGCCUGGGUCCGGUGCUCUGGGGGCAUGCGUGCCUCGGGGGAGACCUGGGCGCCCGCUGCCAGCAUCCGCUCACUCGGGUGGGGUGCGGGCUGAGGCCUGACCACCAAGGAGACAGGGCCACGCGGGGUGGCCCUGGUGGUUUCCUCCUGCCCUUCAGGCUUCUAGGAAGUGGCGCCAGCUGGGGUGAGAUCACUUCCUCACCCUCCUGCCCGCCACCCCCUCAGCUUCCUCUCCCCAUGGCCCCAGUUAGCCUGCCCAGGGCUCAGUGGUGGGGGUGGUGAAGAAAGGGAGGGGGGACCUGGCUCUGGGAGCUCCUGCAGCCUCCUUGGCUGAAAGUGACCCUCUGGGUAUCUCUGCCUCUCUGGGCCUGGGAGGCAUGGCUGGGGCUGGGGGUAUCCAGCCUGGUGGUCUAGCUCUCUUUAGUUGCUGCUGCACGUGGGGAAAAAGGGCUUCCCUGCAAGACCCCAAAGGAUGGCAGCAAGUGGGGACCUGGAGGGCAGAUGUCCUCAAAUCUCAUUACCUCCUUUUGUCUCUCCUAGGUGCCAGCUGCUGGCCCUGCCCGGUGCCCCCCCACCCCUGUGCCAUGGCCGGCUGGGGUUCCUGGGGAUGGGAUUUGCUGCCUGUCACAAAUCACAUUGCCAGGGAUUUCCAACCGACCCUGAGCCCUGCCUCUGGGGCCACCGCUGUCACUGCUUCCGCUGAGGACACCGACCCAGGGAUGGGGACGGGGUGGCAGAGAGGCCUCCACCGCCUGCGUCUGGCCUGGGGAGCAGGGCUUAGCUGCUUGUGAGCAGGUCCACAGCAAGUCGUGUUCACAGUGGCUAAGUUCCGCCCCCCGGGGCCCCGCCUCCUCUGGCCCUGCCACCUCUCCCCUCCGCCUGCCUGUCCGACCUCCGGGCCUCCCUGGGCUCUGCCUCCCGUGCCUACUGAGCUGAAACACAGUUGAUUUGUGCAGACUGGCUCAGUUCAGCAGGAACAGGAGUCAAGCCCCCUUGGAGUCUUCGGCCCCUGCCUUCCUUGGGUGGGCCAUUCGCCUCCUGUGAGAAGAGAUGAGGACCCUGCCCUGGACCUGUGUCUGGAGGAGGAACCUGGGGACGAGUGGAGCCUGGGAUGGGAUGGGUCAACCCAGCUGUCUGCUGCAGGCCCCCUCCUCCAGUUCUGCACUUGGGGACCCUCACACAGUCCCAUCUCAGGCUGGGCUGUGUUCCCAGGGAGGAUGGAUAGGCAGGCGGGUGGCCAGCCUUUCCAUGAAAAAAGGAAGCCAGCUGUGUCCCCGCCUGGCCGACCCUCGGCCCCUCCUCUCCCAAGCUUGGUUGGGGGAUGGCUGGCUCGCAUCUUCCCAGCAGUCAGUUACCCAAGAGGAAGCUGCCUUGGGCCCCCAGACCGUUAAAUGCCAACUCCAGGCUUCCGGAACCAGGCUGGCCUGACCUGAACCUGCCUGGCCCCUUCUCCCUGGGCCUGCGGCUUCCUAACUUGGGGAGGAGGAGCCAUGACACCCUCCUGGCACGUGGGGCAGGGAAUGAGGUCCCUGUGGGCCCAAAGGACACAAACAGGCCCGCUCAGUCCUUGGGUGGUCCCAGGGCAUGGGCGCAUUGAGACUUUGUCCAUCAUCAGAUGGAAUGGGGCUCUUUUGGGGGUGAGACUGGGGAGGCAGUGUGAAGCCCCCCCCCCGAGUUGUCUCAGUGUACCCCUGUCCCACUGGGGCAGGGGCAGACAGCAGCUUGGGCAAGUCUAUGCUGUGUGUCGAGCCUGUUGUCCAAUUAAAUAAAAGCUGCCCCCUGCCUCAUUCCUGAA
This is a non-coding RNA of Delphinapterus leucas (beluga whale), 5579 nucleotides long. NCBI's taxonomy places the organism in Eukaryota, Metazoa, Chordata, Mammalia, Artiodactyla, Monodontidae. The record is from RefSeq and is a predicted model, not a curated record.